This 73-nucleotide transfer RNA is filed under the name Salmo salar (Atlantic salmon). It matches the Rfam family "tRNA". From Rfam's summary of the family: Transfer RNA (tRNA) molecules are approximately 80 nucleotides in length. Their secondary structure includes four short double-helical elements and three loops (D, anti-codon, and T loops). The record is from Rfam by way of RNAcentral. Lineage: Eukaryota; Metazoa; Chordata; Actinopteri; Salmoniformes; Salmonidae.
UCCCGUGUAGCUCAGUUGGUAGAGCAUGGUGUUUGCAAUGCCAGGGUUGUGGGUUCCAUUCCCACGGGGGGAC